This 464-nucleotide unclassified non-coding RNA is filed under the name Hevea brasiliensis (rubber tree). Lineage: Eukaryota; Viridiplantae; Streptophyta; Magnoliopsida; Malpighiales; Euphorbiaceae. The record is from RNAcentral.
UUUAUAUGCUCUAGAAGAUCUGCACGGAGGAACCAAUAUCUGCAUUUUCCUUCAAUUUGAUAGCUGAAGCCUGUAAUUUCUUCGCUUGUGACUUGUGUUGUCCAGGUAUGAGCAGUUUCUGCAAGAAGGGAGGCUACUGGAGGUAAAAUUCUCGUGCUUCUUCUUUUAUAACAUUCUUCUGUCUCUUUUCUUGACUUAAUUUUUGACUAGGAAAGUGUAAUUUAUAUAAAUUCUCUUCAUAUUUGUAAUGGCAUAGAGAGCAGUGAUGGUAGGUCAUUACAAGUAUUCACAAAGAGCAAAUCUCAUGAUACCAUUGACUCUCCUUUUACUGUAUCACUCGCAAAGAGGGCAAUGUUUUAUGGUGUUAUGUACUCUUUCCUCUUGUUGAUCAUGAGCUCCAAUUUUGAAGGGUUUUCUAAGCCAAAUACAUUUUUUAAAUAAGUCGAAUAUAUCAUGACUGAACA